This 500-nucleotide long non-coding RNA is filed under the name Theobroma cacao (cacao). Its description in RNAcentral is "long non-coding RNA (TCAC_LNC000810)". The record is from RNAcentral. Lineage: Eukaryota; Viridiplantae; Streptophyta; Magnoliopsida; Malvales; Malvaceae.
UUCAAUCGGCAUUCGGGGUGAAGAAUGUCUGUCGAGGCCUCGCGGCGGUUGUCACGAGCCCGAUGGGAAGUUCCGGGUCGUGACAUGGCUGCUUUUAUUUUAUGGGCUUUUCUCUUCUUAAUUUUUUAUGGGAUUACACUUCAAAUAGUGUAAUUAAAUGAAUUGUAUUAAGAGUAAUAUGAUGAAUUUAGUUACAUAAGAAAAAAUGCAGCUAAAAUUUUAUAGUAAAAGGGUAAAAAUGUUUUAGUGUUAGCAUACUAAAAUAACAUGUGAGAAAAAGGGGGAACAAAGGAAGCGAAGCUUCUAAAUAUCUUUUGGAGAAUCAUGAAAAUUACAUUUCACGACAUGCAUGAGAAAGUUAUAAAUGAAGGUUCUAGAGAAUUUGAGGGCUGUUUUAUUUUAUUUUAAAAUAUUUUUAAAAUUUUAAUGGGUACUUACUACAUAAAAAUAUGUACACGCCUUCCAAGUGGACAUUAUGUUUCGCAAUCAUAUGAUCUUAG